GGCGAACGGGUGAGUAACACGUGGGCAAUCUGCCCUUCACUCUGGGACAAGCCCUGGAAACGGGGUCUAAUACCGGAUAACACUCUGUCCCGCAUGGGACGGGGUUAAAAGCUCCGGCGGUGAAGGAUGAGCCCGCGGCCUAUCAGCUUGUUGGUGGGGUGAUGGCCUACCAAGGCGACGACGGGUAGCCGGCCUGAGAGGGCGACCGGCCACACUGGGACUGAGACACGGCCCAGACUCCUACGGGAGGCAGCAGUGGGGAAUAUUGCACAAUGGGCGAAAGCCUGAUGCAGCGACGCCGCGUGAGGGAUGACGGCCUUCGGGUUGUAAACCUCUUUCAGCAGGGAAGAAGCGAAAGUGACGGUACCUGCAGAAGAAGCGCCGGCUAACUACGUGCCAGCAGCCGCGGUAAUACGUAGGGCGCAAGCGUUGUCCGGAAUUAUUGGGCGUAAAGAGCUCGUAGGCGGCUUGUCACGUCGGAUGUGAAAGCCCGGGGCUUAACCC
This 504-nucleotide ribosomal RNA is filed under the name Streptomyces flavovirens. RNAcentral's name for it is "bacterial SSU rRNA". It matches the Rfam family "Bacterial small subunit ribosomal RNA", at positions 97 to 615 of the family's 1533-position model. The record is from RNAcentral. Lineage: Bacteria; Bacillati; Actinomycetota; Actinomycetes; Kitasatosporales; Streptomycetaceae.